This 434-nucleotide ribosomal RNA is filed under the name uncultured Lachnospiraceae bacterium. RNAcentral's name for it is "bacterial SSU rRNA". It matches the Rfam family "Bacterial small subunit ribosomal RNA", at positions 341 to 792 of the family's 1533-position model. Lineage: Bacteria; Bacillati; Bacillota; Clostridia; Lachnospirales; Lachnospiraceae. The record is from RNAcentral.
ACGGGAGGCAGCAGUGGGGAAUAUUGGACAAUGGAGGAAACCCUGAUCCAGCGACGCCGCGUGAGUGAAGAAGUAUUUCGGUAUGUAAAGCUCUAUCAGCAGGGAAGAUAAUGACGGUACCUGACUAAGAAGCCCCGGCUAACUACGUGCCAGCAGCCGCGGUAAUACGUAGGGGGCGAGCGUUAUCCGGAAUUACUGGGUGUAAAGGGAGCGUAGACGGCAUGGCAAGUCUGAAGUGAAAGCUCGGGGCUCAACCCCGGAACUGCUUUGGAAACUGUCAGGCUAGAGUACCGGAGGGGUAAGCGGAAUUCCUAGUGUAGCGGUGAAAUGCGUAGAUAUUAGGAGGAACACCAGUGGCGAAGGCGGCUUACUGGACGGUAACUGACGUUGAGGCUCGAAAGCGUGGGGAGCAAACAGGAUUAGAUACCCUGGUA